UUUCCGUAGGUGAACCUGCGGAGGGAUCAUUACCGAGUGAUGGUCUCCCAGGCCCGUCCUCCCACCCUGUGUUUUUGUGACCUAGUGGCCUUGGCGGGCCCGCCUCGAUGAGAGGCCGCCGGAAGCUCACCGCUUUCCGCCCGAUCCCGUCGGUAGCCCCCUUAAAUUCUUUAUAAACUUCUCGUCUGGGUCAAUGGAUUUAAGGAAAAAAAACUUUCAACACCGGAUGCCAUGGCUCUCGCAUCGAUGAAAAACGCAGCAGGGCGGAUGAGCACGCGU
This 279-nucleotide unclassified non-coding RNA is filed under the name plant metagenome. RNAcentral describes it as "partial contains small subunit ribosomal RNA, internal transcribed spacer 1, and 5.8S ribosomal RNA". The record is from RNAcentral.